GCUGUGGGCUUUGGUGUCAAAGUCUGUGAUACCGACAGCACAAAUGUCAAACAAAACUAUCAAAUGGUCGAACGCCAUUUUUAACGGUUUUGUUUGUGGUUUUUUUACCUUGUUAGUCAACAAAAUGCAUACAGCAGUGCAUUUACUUUGGUUUUAGUUUUUACAACUAAUAAAGUACUCUAUAAAUUCGUGAGAGGUAAACCAAUAGAAGUAAAUUAACGUAUAACAAAACUUGUCUCUGUAGAAAAUUGAACGUGGCCAUGGGACUUUAACACUGUUGUUUGUUCGGUACAAGGAUGUACCAACAAUAAAAGGCCCAUAUUUGGUUUCCCACAUCCCAUCAGUAGAUACAAGCCGUCAAGAACCUUGGAUAAUGUAGUUUGGAUUGCCAGUUGGCUAUCCAAGGUGACGGAGGACAACAGCAGCAAUUUGUUGCAAAAUGGGUGAUUAAUUUUGCUAAGAGAACUGGAAUUUCAACCUUUUGCUCAACGUGUGGACAGAUUCAACAUUUGAAAAUAAAUGUUCCAUCAGAUGCAACGACACAGAUCGUAUUUCUUAACCGUACAACAGUAAGCCUCAGUCAGUUAUAACAACAUAACAAUCCUCCAAUAAGUCGAGGCUUUCACGUCGGUGUUUCAAUUAAACUAAACAGCGUCGAAUGACCGAAGACCGCUUUGCAAGAGCUAAAACCG
This is a long non-coding RNA of Tribolium castaneum (red flour beetle), 692 nucleotides long. RefSeq lists it as uncharacterized. The record is from RefSeq and is a predicted model, not a curated record. The transcript is spliced from 2 exons. Lineage: Eukaryota; Metazoa; Arthropoda; Insecta; Coleoptera; Tenebrionidae.